RNAcentral lists this ribosomal RNA (620 nucleotides) under Lactococcus lactis. Its description in RNAcentral is "bacterial SSU rRNA". It matches the Rfam family "Bacterial small subunit ribosomal RNA", at positions 73 to 684 of the family's 1533-position model. The record is from RNAcentral. Lineage: Bacteria; Bacillati; Bacillota; Bacilli; Lactobacillales; Streptococcaceae.
ACUUGUACCGACUGGAUGAGCAGCGAACGGGUGAGUAACGCGUGGGGAAUCUGCCUUUGAGCGGGGGACAACAUUUGGAAACGAAUGCUAAUACCGCAUAAAAACUUUAAACACAAGUUUUAAGUUUGAAAGAUGCAAUUGCAUCACUCAAAGAUGAUCCCGCGUUGUAUUAGCUAGUUGGUGAGGUAAAGGCUCACCAAGGCGAUGAUACAUAGCCGACCUGAGAGGGUGAUCGGCCACAUUGGGACUGAGACACGGCCCAAACUCCUACGGGAGGCAGCAGUAGGGAAUCUUCGGCAAUGGACGAAAGUCUGACCGAGCAACGCCGCGUGAGUGAAGAAGGUUUUCGGAUCGUAAAACUCUGUUGGUAGAGAAGAACGUUGGUGAGAGUGGAAAGCUCAUCAAGUGACGGUAACUACCCAGAAAGGGACGGCUAACUACGUGCCAGCAGCCGCGGUAAUACGUAGGUCCCGAGCGUUGUCCGGAUUUAUUGGGCGUAAAGCGAGCGCAGGUGGUUUAUUAAGUCUGGUGUAAAAGGCAGUGGCUCAACCAUUGUAUGCAUUGGAAACUGGUAGACUUGAGUGCAGGAGAGGAGAGUGGAAUUCCAUGGGUAGCGGUGG